RNAcentral lists this long non-coding RNA (493 nucleotides) under Macaca nemestrina (pig-tailed macaque). RNAcentral describes it as "lncRNA (ENSMNEG00000045890.1)". Lineage: Eukaryota; Metazoa; Chordata; Mammalia; Primates; Cercopithecidae. The record is from RNAcentral.
CCCGCACGCGGGAACGGGCCCCGGGUCCAGGCUGCGGGCGGCCCAGGAGCCGCACCCGCGGGCUCCAGGUGCCCGGCCCGGAAAGAAAGAACCAAAGGGUUGUGGGUUCCCACCCACAGCAGCCAACAUAGGAGCUCAGGUGUCCAGGUAGAAGGAUGAGAGAGGACCAAUUUGGCUUGGAGCCCCAGAACCAAGGAAGAGCCCUGAGCUGGCCUAGUGCUGGAGUCGGAAACAGAGCCAGCCCUGCAGAAGAACCAGAAAAAGGUUGGGUGCCAUGGCUCACUCCUGGAAUCCCAGCAGUUUGGGAGGCCAAGGCGGGUGGACCACUUGAGGUCACGAGUUCAAGAUCAGCCUGACCAACAUGGUGAAACCCCGUCUCUACUAAAAAUGCAAAAUUAGCUGACCAUGGUGGCACGUGCCUGUAAUCCCAGCUACCGGCAGAAGAAUCGCUUGAACCCGGGAGAUAGAGGUUGCAGUGAGCCGAGAUCGUGCC